GGUAGAGCACCUGACUGUUAAUCAGGGUGUCGUCAGUUCGAGCCUGACAUCCGGAG
Molecule: transfer RNA, 56 nt
Rfam family: tRNA
About the family: Transfer RNA (tRNA) molecules are approximately 80 nucleotides in length. Their secondary structure includes four short double-helical elements and three loops (D, anti-codon, and T loops).
Source: Rfam